Molecule: unclassified non-coding RNA, 233 nt
Filed under: uncultured Hyphomonadaceae bacterium
Lineage: Bacteria; Pseudomonadati; Pseudomonadota; Alphaproteobacteria; Hyphomonadales; Hyphomonadaceae
Description: contains 16S-23S intergenic spacer region
Source: RNAcentral
UCCGGUUUGGCACCGGCAGUCUCCGUAGAGUCCCCGACAUUACUCGCUGGCAACUAGAAGCGAGGGUUGCGCUCGUUGCGGGACUUAACCCAACAUCUCACGACACGAGCUGACGACAGCCAUGCAGCACCUGUCUCCGCGCCCCGAAGGGACCCUAGAUCUCUCUAGGUAGCACGGGAUGUCAAAGGUGGGUAAGGUUCUGCGCGUUGCUUCGAAUUAAACCACAUGCUCCG